Hippocampus comes (tiger tail seahorse) is the source of this 132-nucleotide long non-coding RNA. RefSeq lists it as uncharacterized. The transcript is spliced from 3 exons. The record is from RefSeq and is a predicted model, not a curated record. Lineage: Eukaryota; Metazoa; Chordata; Actinopteri; Syngnathiformes; Syngnathidae.
UGAAUUCUGAACAAGUUGAAGUUUAUGGAGAAAUUGGAGAUGGACGCCGAAGAGAAGUGAAUUGCAGUAAUCGAUGCGGGAGGUGACGAGGCUGUGAACAAGAAUAGCAGUCGUGUGGGGUGUGAGAGAGGG